Molecule: ribosomal RNA, 701 nt
Filed under: Bacillus velezensis
Lineage: Bacteria; Bacillati; Bacillota; Bacilli; Caryophanales; Bacillaceae
Description: bacterial SSU rRNA
Rfam family: Bacterial small subunit ribosomal RNA
Source: RNAcentral
AAGACUGGGAUAACUCCGGGAAACCGGGGCUAAUACCGGAUGGUUGUUUGAACCGCAGGUUCAGACAUAAAAGGUGGCUUCGGCUACCACUUACAGAUGGACCCGCGGCGCAUAGCUAGUUGGUGAGGUAACGGCUCACCAAGGCGACGAUGCGUAGCCGACCUGAGAGGGUGAUCGGCCACACUGGGACUGAGACACGGCCCAGACUCCUACGGGAGGCAGCAGUAGGGAAUCUUCCGCAAUGGACGAAAGUCUGACGGAGCAACGCCGCGUGAGUGAUGAAGGUUUUCGGAUCGUAAAGCUCUGUUGUUAGGGAAGAACAAGUGCCGUUCAAAUAGGGCGGCACCUUGACGGUACCUAACCAGAAAGCCACGGCUAACUACGUGCCAGCAGCCGCGGUAAUACGUAGGUGGCAAGCGUUGUCCGGAAUUAUUGGGCGUAAAGGGCUCGCAGGCGGUUUCUUAAGUCUGAUGUGAAAGCCCCCGGCUCAACCGGGGAGGGUCAUUGGAAACUGGGGAACUUGAGUGCAGAAGAGGAGAGUGGAAUUCCACGUGUAGCGGUGAAAUGCGUAGAGAUGUGGAGGAACACCAGUGGCGAAGGCGACUCUCUGGUCUGUAACUGACGCUGAGGAGCGAAAGCGUGGGGAGCGAACAGGAUUAGAUACCCUGGUAGUCCACGCCGUAAACGAUGAGUGCUAAGUG